This 440-nucleotide ribosomal RNA is filed under the name uncultured Gammaproteobacteria bacterium. RNAcentral describes it as "bacterial SSU rRNA". It matches the Rfam family "Bacterial small subunit ribosomal RNA", at positions 97 to 570 of the family's 1533-position model. The record is from RNAcentral. Lineage: Bacteria; Pseudomonadati; Pseudomonadota; Gammaproteobacteria.
GGCGGACGGGUGAGUAACGCGUGGGAAUCUACCCAGUAGUGGGGGACAACUACCGGAAACGGUAGCUAAUACCGCAUACGCCCUAUGGGGGAAAGGCUUCGGCCGCUAUUGGAUGAGCCCGCGUCAGAUUAGCUAGUUGGUAGGGUAAAGGCCUACCAAGGCAACGAUCUGUAGCUGGUCUGAGAGGACGAACAGCCACACUGGGACUGAGACACGGCCCAGACUCCUACGGGAGGCAGCAGUGGGGAAUAUUGGACAAUGGGCGAAAGCCUGAUCCAGCAAUGCCGCGUGUGUGAAGAAGGCCUGCGGGUUGUAAAGCACUUUCAGUUGGGAAGAUAAUGACGUUACCAACAGAAGAAGCACCGGCUAAAUCCGUGCCAGCAGCCGCGGUAAUACGGAUGGUGCGAGCGUUAAUCGGACUUACUGGGCGUAAAGCGCGC